AUGGCACCGUUGGUCAUCCGCUGGUGCUGGAAGCCCUUGGCACUGAGGUGGGGGAGGCAGAGGGUCAGUGCCACCCCCUGGAGGCUUCCACAGCCAGCAGAGGCAGCUCCCACCCCACCAGACUCACCCUUUAAUUCUCCACUUGUACCAGACAAAAGCCACCACGGUGAGGAGGAUGAGGAGCAGCAGGAUGGGGAUGACGAUGGAAGCUGUUCCUGCGGGAGGAAGGCACGGGAACACUCAGAGCCUGGGGGGGGGGGGGGACAGUGCCCAUAUGGGGCAGCCCGGGCUGGCCCUGGCCCCCCACUUCCACCAGAGAAUGGGGCUCAGGAGUCGCUCUGGGGCAGCCCUGGGUCACCAACAAACCCCUGGGUGUGGUGUGGCACGGAAGGGGGGUCACCCAUUGCCCCCCACUUCAUUUCCCCACCAACAAACUGCCCCCCAGCAAACCCCCCGGGUGUGGCGUGGCACGGAAGGGGGGUCACCCACUGCCCCCCAUUUAAUUUACCCAUCAUAAACUGCUCAAGAAACCCCCCGGGUGUGGCGUGGCACGGAAGGGGGGUCACCCACUUCAUCUGCUCACCAACAAACUGCCCCCCAACAAACCCCCUGGGUGUGGUGUGGCACAGAAGGGGGGUCACCCAUUGCCCCCCACUUCAUUUCCCCACCAAAAAACUGCCCCCCAGCAAACCCCCCGGGUGUGGCAUGGCACGGAAAUGGGGUCACCCACUGCCCCCCACUUCAUUUCCCCACCAACAAACUGCCCCCCAGCAAACCCCCCCGGGUGUGGCGUGGCACGGAAGGGGGGUCACCCACUGCCCCCCACUUACGGCUGCUCUGCUGCUCGCCCACGAUGAAAUCCUCGCAGCGUGUGCCCGUCAUCCCCGCGGGACACCUGGGAGCGCAGGGAGAGCAGCAGGAUUAGCGGGGCAGGGAGGGAGGGAGGGAGGGAGGGAGGGCUGGGCACAGACCUGGGGUCAGGCUGGGGUGGGGGCACACAGAUCGGGGUGUGUCAGUGACGUCUCGGGGGGCAAACAGCCCGCCUGCCCCCCCCCCCGCGCCCCCCGGCCCCCUCCUCACUUACAGGCACUCGGGCAGCUGAGUCUUGUCGCUGACGGAGCAGGUCCCGCCGUGCAGGCAGUAAUUGUCACAGGUCAGGCAGCUCGGGGCUAUCUUCCCAUCGGGGCAGCUGGGGGGCACAGAGGAUCGACCCCAUGGGAACCCCACGGCUGCCCUGUGCCCCCCUCCUGGUGUUCUGUGCCCCCCCAGCCCCUCGGGACUCGGCUGUUGGCUCAUCCCACCCGCUGGGACACCUGGAUGGGCUCUGGGGAGACACUGAGACACAUCCCCCUCCUCCUGCCAGGACCACCAGGACCACCCUGGAUUUAUCUGCCCUGA
This 1398-nucleotide long non-coding RNA is filed under the name Taeniopygia guttata (zebra finch). Its description in RNAcentral is "lncRNA (ENSTGUG00000019733.1)". The record is from RNAcentral. Lineage: Eukaryota; Metazoa; Chordata; Aves; Passeriformes; Estrildidae.